AUACCUACCUGGCAGGGGAGAUACCAUGAUCAUGAAGGUGGUUCUCCCAGAGCGAGGCUUAUCCAUUGCACUCUGGAUGUGCUGAUCCCUGUGAUUUCCCCAAAUGUGGAAAAAACUCGACUGUAUGAUUUGUGGGAGUGGGGGACUGCAUUUGUACUCUCCCCUA
RNAcentral lists this small nuclear RNA (166 nucleotides) under Carlito syrichta (Philippine tarsier). RNAcentral's name for it is "U1 spliceosomal RNA (ENSTSYG00000028438.1)". It matches the Rfam family "U1 spliceosomal RNA". Rfam says of the family: U1 is a small nuclear RNA (snRNA) component of the spliceosome (involved in pre-mRNA splicing). Its 5' end forms complementary base pairs with the 5' splice junction, thus defining the 5' donor site of an intron. The record is from Rfam by way of RNAcentral. Lineage: Eukaryota; Metazoa; Chordata; Mammalia; Primates; Tarsiidae.